GCCGGGCUGGUGGAAUUGGUAGACACAAGGGACUUAAAAUCCCUCGGAUGGUAACAUCCGUGCCAGUUCAAGUCUGGUGCCCGGCAUCA
Molecule: transfer RNA, 89 nt
Filed under: Treponema sp.
Lineage: Bacteria; Pseudomonadati; Spirochaetota; Spirochaetia; Treponematales; Treponemataceae
Description: tRNA-Leu
Source: RNAcentral